This 94-nucleotide ribosomal RNA is filed under the name Bacillus anthracis (anthrax bacterium). RNAcentral also lists the same sequence under 119 other names. Lineage: Bacteria; Bacillati; Bacillota; Bacilli; Caryophanales; Bacillaceae. The record is from RNAcentral.
UCACACCCGUUCCCAUACCGAACACGGAAGUUAAGCUCUCUAGCGCCGAUGGUAGUUGGGACCUUGUCCCUGUGAGAGUAGGACGUCGCCAAGC